UGGGGAAUAUUGCACAAUGGGCGAAAGCCUGAUGCAGCAACGCCGCGUGCGGGAUGACGGCCUUCGGGUUGUAAACCGCUUUCAGCAGGGACGAAGGUUUUCUGACGGUACCUGCAGAAGAAGCACCGGCUAACUACGUGCCAGCAGCCGCGGUGAUACGUAGGGUGCGAGCGUUGUCCGGAAUUAUUGGGCGUAAAGAGCUUGUAGGCGGUCCGUUGCGUCGGAAGUGAAAACUCAGGGCUUAACCCUGAGCCUGCUUUCGAUACGGGCGGACUUGAGGGAUGUAGGGGAGAACGGAAUUCCUGGUGGAGCGGUGGAAUGCGCAGAUAUCAGGAGGAACACCAGUGGCGAAGGCGGUUCUCUGGACAUUUCCUGACGCUGAGAAGCGAAAGCNUGGGGAGCAAACAGGCUUAGAUACCCUGGUAGUCCACGCCGUAAACGGUGGGCACUAGGUGUGGGACCCAUUCCACGGGUUCCGUGCCGUAGCUAACGCAUUAAGUGCCCCGCCUGGGG
This 513-nucleotide ribosomal RNA is filed under the name uncultured bacterium. Its description in RNAcentral is "partial 16S ribosomal RNA". It matches the Rfam family "Bacterial small subunit ribosomal RNA", at positions 355 to 878 of the family's 1533-position model. The record is from RNAcentral.